This 771-nucleotide ribosomal RNA is filed under the name uncultured bacterium. RNAcentral describes it as "bacterial SSU rRNA". It matches the Rfam family "Bacterial small subunit ribosomal RNA", at positions 66 to 869 of the family's 1533-position model. The record is from RNAcentral.
ACGAGAAAGUGGAGCAAUCCAUGAGUACAGUGGCGUACGGGUGAGUAACACGUGGGUUAUCUACCUCUUAGUGGGGAAUAACUCUGGGAAACCGGAGCUAAUACCGCAUAAUCCUGAGAAGGGAAAGCAGCAAUGCGCUGAGAGAGGAGCCCGCGGCCGAUUAGCUAGUUGGUAGGGUAAAGGCCUACCAAGGCAAUGAUCGGUAGCCGGCCUGAGAGGGCACACGGCCACACUGGCACUGAAACACGGGCCAGACUCCUACGGGAGGCAGCAGUGGGGAAUCUUGCACAAUGGGGGAAACCCUGAUGCAGCGACGCCGCGUGAGCGAUGAAGCCCUUCGGGGCGUAAAGCUCUUUCGGCAGGAACGAUAGUGACGGUACCUGAAGAAGAAGCUGCGGCUAACUACGUGCCAGCAGCCGCGGUAAUACGUAGGCAGCAAGCGUUGUUCGGAGUUACUGGGCGUAAAGAGUGUGUAGGCUGUUCUCUAAGUUUGGUGUGAAAUCUCCCGGCUCAACUGGGAGGGUGCGCCGAAAACUGGAGGGCUUGAGUAUGGGAGAGGAAAGCGGAAUUCCUGGUGUAGCGGUGAAAUGCGUAGAUAUCAGGAGGAACACCUGCGGUGUAGACAGCUUUCUGGACCAUCACUGACGCUGAGACACGAAAGCGUGGGUAGCAAACAGGAUUAGAUACCCUGGUAGUCCACGCCCUAAACGAUGCAUACUUGGGUGUGAGCCGUUCAUUCGGUUCGUGCCGGAGCUAACGCGUUAAGUAUGC